This 253-nucleotide ribosomal RNA is filed under the name uncultured bacterium. RNAcentral describes it as "partial 16S ribosomal RNA". It matches the Rfam family "Bacterial small subunit ribosomal RNA", at positions 524 to 776 of the family's 1533-position model. The record is from RNAcentral.
UACGUAGGGGGCAAGCGUUGUCCGGAUUUAUUGGGCGUAAAGCGCAUGUAGGCGGCAGCGCAAGUCGGGCGUGAAAUCCCACGGCUCAACCGUGGAAGUGCACUCGAAACUGCGCAGCUAGAGUCCUGGAGAGGAAGGUGGAAUGCUUGGUGUAGAGGUGAAAUUCGUAGAUAUCAAGCGGAACACCGGUGGCGAAGGCGGCCUUCUGGACAGUGACUGACGCUGAGAUGCGAAAGCGUGGGGAGCAAACAGG